RNAcentral lists this transfer RNA (71 nucleotides) under Physalaemus nattereri (Cuyaba dwarf frog). Its description in RNAcentral is "tRNA-Val". It matches the Rfam family "tRNA". Rfam says of the family: Transfer RNA (tRNA) molecules are approximately 80 nucleotides in length. Lineage: Eukaryota; Metazoa; Chordata; Amphibia; Anura; Leptodactylidae. The record is from RNAcentral.
CGAAACGUAACUUAACCUAAAGUAUUUCGCUUACACCGAAAGAAUAUCUGUGAAAAUCAGAUCGUCUCGAG